This 1343-nucleotide ribosomal RNA is filed under the name uncultured bacterium. Its description in RNAcentral is "bacterial SSU rRNA". It matches the Rfam family "Bacterial small subunit ribosomal RNA", at positions 28 to 1381 of the family's 1533-position model. The record is from RNAcentral.
GACGAACGCUGGCGGCGUGCUUAACACAUGCAAGUCGAACGAUGAAGCUCUAGCUUGCUGGGGUGGAUUAGUGGCGAACGGGUGAGUAACACGUGAGUAACCUGCCCUUUACUUCGGGAUAAGCUUGGGAAACUGGGUCUAAUACCGGAUAUUCUGCGUGAUCGGAUGGUUGUGUAGGAAAGAUUUUUUGGUAAGGGAUGGGCUCGCGACCUAUCAGUUUGUUGGUGGGGUGAUGGCCUACCAAGACGACGACGGGUAGCCGGCCUGAGAGGGCGACCGGCCACACUGGGACUGAGACACGGCCCAGACUCCUACGGGAGGCAGCAGUGGGGAAUAUUGCACAAUGGGGGAAACCCUGAUGCAGCGACGCCGCGUGGGGGAUGACGGCCUUCGGGUUGUAAACCUCUUUCAGUAGGGAAGAUGCGAAAGUGACGGUACCUGCAGAAGAAGUACCGGCUAACUACGUGCCAGCAGCCGCGGUAAUACGUAGGGUACUAGCGUUGUCCGGAAUUAUUGGGCGUAAAGAGCUCGUAGGUGGUUUGUCGCGUCUGCUGUGGAAACGUGCCGCUUAACGGGUGCGCGUGCAGUGGGUACGGGCGGACUAGAGUGCAGUAGGGGAGUCUGGAAUUCCUGGUGUAGCGGUGAAAUGCGCAGAUAUCAGGAGGAACACCGGUGGCGAAGGCGGGACUCUGGGCUGUUACUGACGCUGAGGAGCGAAAGCAUGGGGAGCGAACAGGAUUAGAUACCCUGGUAGUCCAUGCCGUAAACGUUGGGCACUAGGUGUGGGGUCCAUUCCACGGAUUCUGCGCCGUAGCUAACGCAUUAAGUGCCCCGCCUGGGGAGUACGGCCGCAAGGCUAAAACUCAAAGGAAUUGACGGGGGCCCGCACAAGCGGCGGAGCAUGCGGAUUAAUUCGAUGCAACGCGAAGAACCUUACCAAGGCUUGACAUGCACUAGACCAUCGCAGAGAUGUGGUUUUCUUUUUGACUGGUGUACAGGUGGUGCAUGGUUGUCGUCAGCUCGUGUCGUGAGAUGUUGGGUUAAGUCCCGCAACGAGCGCAACCCUCGUUCUAUGUUGCCAGCACGUGAUGGUGGGAACUCAUGGGAGACUGCCGGGGUCAACUCGGAGGAAGGUGGGGAUGACGUCAAAUCAUCAUGCCCUUUAUGUCUUGGGCUUCACGCAUGCUACAAUGGCCGGUACAGAGGGUGGCGAUACCGUGAGGUGGAGCGAAUCUCUUAAAGCCGGUCUCAGUUCGGAUCGUAGUCUGCAACUCGGCUACGUGAAGUCGGAGUCGCUAGUAAUCGCAGAUCAGCAAUGCUGCGGUGAAUACGUUCCCGGGCCU